GUCCAGACUCCUACGGGAGGCAGCAGUCGGGAAUAUUGCGCAAUGGAGGAAACUCUGACGCAGUGACGCCGCGUAUAGGAAGAAGGUUUUCGGAUUGUAAACUAUUGUCGUUAGGGAAGAAAAAAGACAGUACCUAAGGAGGAAGCCCCGGCUAACUACGUGCCAGCAGCCGCGGUAAUACGUAGGGGGCAAGCGUUAUCCGGAUUUACUGGGUGUAAAGGGAGCGUAGACGGCGAAGAAAGUCUGAAGUGAAAGCCCGCGGCUUAACCGCGGAACUGCUUUGGAAACUUUUUUGCUGGAGUACCGGAGAGGUAAGCGGAAUUCCUAGUGUAGCGGUGAAAUGCGUAGAUAUUAGGAGGAACACCAGUGGCGAAGGCGGCUUACUGGACGGUAACUGACGUUGAGGCUCGAAAGCGUGGGGAGCAAACAGGAUUAGAUACCCUUGUA
RNAcentral lists this ribosomal RNA (447 nucleotides) under uncultured bacterium. Its description in RNAcentral is "partial 16S ribosomal RNA". It matches the Rfam family "Bacterial small subunit ribosomal RNA", at positions 329 to 792 of the family's 1533-position model. The record is from RNAcentral.